AGCCGCGCAAUGAGCACAAGUCGUUCUAUUCUUUCACCAUUUACUAAAGAAUACCGUGUGCUCGUCACUUAAUGCAGCAUACACCUAUUUUUGGAGGGCUUUUCUCUUUUUUGAGAAGGU
RNAcentral lists this small nuclear RNA (120 nucleotides) under Nelumbo nucifera (sacred lotus). Its description in RNAcentral is "U5 spliceosomal RNA". It matches the Rfam family "U5 spliceosomal RNA". Rfam says of the family: U5 RNA is a component of both types of known spliceosome. The precise function of this molecule is unknown, though it is known that the 5' loop is required for splice site selection and p220 binding, and that both the 3' stem-loop and the Sm site are important for Sm protein binding and cap methylation. The record is from Rfam by way of RNAcentral. Lineage: Eukaryota; Viridiplantae; Streptophyta; Magnoliopsida; Proteales; Nelumbonaceae.